Molecule: ribosomal RNA, 500 nt
Filed under: uncultured bacterium
Lineage: Bacteria
Description: partial 16S ribosomal RNA
Rfam family: Bacterial small subunit ribosomal RNA
Source: RNAcentral
AUUGAACGCUGGCGGCAUGCCUUACACAUGCAAGUCGAACGGCAGCACGGGAGCAAUCCUGGUGGCGAGUGGCGAACGGGUGAGUAAUACAUCGGAACGUGCCCAAUCGAUGGGGAUCACGUAGCGAAAGCUACGCUAAUACCGCAUACGAUCUACGGAUGAAAGUGGUGGAUAGCAAGACCGAGCGCGAAUGGAGCGGCCGAUGGCAGAUUAGGUAGUUGGUGAGGUAAAGGCUAACCAAGCCUGCGAUCUGUAGCUGGUCUGAGAGGACGACCAGCCACACUGGGACUGGGACACGGCCCAGACUCCUACGGGAGGCAGCAGUGGGGAAUUUUGGACAAUGGGCGCAAGCCUGAUCCAGCAAUGCCGCGUGCAGGAUGAAGGCCUUCGGGUUGUAAACUGCUUUUGUACGGAACGAAACGGUCCUUUCUAAUACAAGGGGCUAAUGACGGUACCGUAAGAAUAAGCACCGGCUAACUACGUGCCAGCCGCCGCGGUAA